AAACUUCCUGAUGAACUCUCAUUUCACCUGAUUUCCCAGCUGAAGUUGACUUGUAAAGUGCUCCUGCACUUCAAACUGUAGCUGCUGCCCAGAAGAACCCCCCUGGCUGCUGUUUGAUCAGGAAUAUGUCGAUAACAUGCUGGUUUUCUACCUGCUAUCUUUGUAAGACCAACUGAGAUGGUCUUACUUGAAUGGAGAGAUGCAGGAUUCUCAGCGUAGAGGCAGAGCUAAAAUUUAAAUGAAUUAGGGAACUGAGGGAAGAAAUGUUUUCUUAGAUAAUACAAACCCUCCAGCACCUUACUACAACACAAAAGCUGUUCUACCUGCUGUAAAUAACCUGAAAAAAUAGAGUCCUGCAUCUCUCCAUUCAAAGCUCAGCUCAAGGCUAAGGCCACUCUCAGCUUCAGUGCCCUCCCGGUCCUUUCAUCAAUGGGUGUUUGGGCUCAGAAUUAGAAGUCCCACGGGACACGCCUGAGUGGGGCUCUGGACUGAUGCAUUUAUGACCAGUGGGAACAAAUGCUUGAAAGUUAAUACACAAUCUCCUCUCAGAUACCCAGAGAGGAGACAAAAUUUGCUUUAUUGUGACGUCCUUACCCAGACAAAGCUCUCGCUGACGACAACAGAACCUGCAGAUGUCAGCCCCAGAUCGCUUGCAGCAGCUGCUGUUUGGGCACAAGCAGGACUGGAUGGGACUGAUCCCAGGCAGGACUUGAAGCAGAACUAGCUCUUGAAGCAUGCAGGGUUUCCAAGUCCAGUCCCUUUUUCAAAGCCCUUCUGCCUGCUAUCUAAGAUAGCUGAUCACACAGGUGGAGAGAUCCCACAGACACAGGAAAGCACUCAAAAGCACUUGCACAAAUAUGUUCCUUCAGAGAGGACCAAGGACAAAUCGAAGCCAACUGGUAGCAAGGAGACGUACAACAGACUGUCAGUCGUCAGCACGGGGACACGGCAGCACUGCAGAGAAAGGGAGCUCCAGCAAAACGCUGGAGGUCGGGCAGGAGGAGGAAUACCUAGCCUCUCCUCGCAGAGAGCUGUUCUUUUUGAGCUCAUUUACAGGGUGCCAGUGACCAGUAGCCUGCUUCAGUUACUGCUGGCCAAUAAAUGUGAGCACCACAGGGUUCUUCUGAGUGUUUCUUUGGUGGUUUUUCUAUUAUUUUUUUUUUGGGGGGGGAGGGGGGAUUCUUUUUGGUAGCAGGAGUGAGGUCUGCAUUGGCUGGUGCAUGAGAUGGGAUGUGCAAUAUGGAUGCACAGUGUUUUUUUAGCUAGAGGUGUUUCAGGCAGAGUACCACAGCACUUUAUUUUCUAAGGCCAUCAGCUAGACUAGAACACAGCAAAGCUGAGACAAUAUUACUUAAACUGCUUAAAUGAGAGGUGCCUGACUGGUACAGGAGCAAUAAGUCACGCUGUGCUUGCUGGUGGUGCUGUGCCUGUCCCCUGGCCUGGGGCGUCUGGCUUGCUGCUCUCUCCUUCUGUCGGCCAGUUGCUGUCUUCUCAAAUCUCCCUUUUUAUCCUUGCUGCAAAUGAGUGCUUUCAGCCCCGGCAUGCACUUUGCAGCCCCUGGGGUUGGAGCCUUGUGUACCUCGGCUCCAGCACACAGCAGAGAAAGUCUGUCCAGGUUUCAAUAAAUAUUUGACAAACCGGUGCA
Anser brachyrhynchus (Pink-footed goose) is the source of this 1645-nucleotide long non-coding RNA. NCBI's taxonomy places the organism in Eukaryota, Metazoa, Chordata, Aves, Anseriformes, Anatidae. The record is from Ensembl.